UACAUUGGGUGCAAACGUUGCUCGGAAUCAUUGGGCGUAAAGCGCGCGUAGGCGGUUACUUAAGUUGGAUGUGAAAGCCCUCGGCUUAACUGAGGAAGUGCAUCCAAAACUGAGUAGCUAGAGUACGAAAGAGGGUCGCGGAAUUCCCGGUGUAGAGGUGAAAUUCGUAGAUAUCGGGAGGAACACCCGUGGCGAAGGCGGCUCUCUGGAACGCAACUGACGCUGAGACGCGAAAGCGUGGGGAGCAAACAGG
Molecule: ribosomal RNA, 253 nt
Filed under: uncultured bacterium
Lineage: Bacteria
Description: partial 16S ribosomal RNA
Rfam family: Bacterial small subunit ribosomal RNA
Source: RNAcentral